ACUAUACCUCGUCCGGCAAUCCAAAUCUCCUAUACACUCACAAAAAAGAACCCGUGUGUCAAGGCUGCUUCCCGACUACGCCUUUCUUUGAACAACUUCCCCCGGAUAAUAAUAUCUUGUGAAAACAAAAUUUAUUCUAGUUCCCGACCAGUAGUAUUUUACGACUAUCGUUGUUGUAUUCGCUCAUUCAUGACGACAGAGAAAAUAACAUUUCUAAAAAUAUUAGCGAAAACUUGUGGAAAGUCGAACCAAUUUUUUUGUGGCAAGGCUACCACGUCUUGAGGGAUGGGUUAUUUCUCAAAAUGUCUCCUUGGUUCGCCUUGACUAAUCUAGCGUAUUUCCUAUGCUAAUUAUACGCCAAAACCAUUAUCAUUUGAGGAAGCGGGCAUUCCAAACUGAGGGUGAAACAAAUAACUCUUUACUGGACCUUGAAUCGAACAUCUUUCUCUCCUUUCAAUCCAAGGCUAAAACGUGAUUCAUCAAUAUGUAACGGAAGAACUAUUUUCGAUGAUUCACGAGAAUUUUUUUUUCCUCUUCAAAUUUUAAUUUACAAAGUCAGAAUGCAUUGGCUUUCACGUCAUCUUGAAUGUGUAUUCUCCAUACAGCCAACUUUCCGGUUGUGUUAUUUAUUCAUCACCGCUUAGGUGACUAAUACAGCAGCAG
Molecule: long non-coding RNA, 663 nt
Organism: Daphnia pulex (common water flea)
Lineage: Eukaryota; Metazoa; Arthropoda; Branchiopoda; Diplostraca; Daphniidae
Exons: 2
Source: RefSeq, a predicted model, not a curated record